GAUGAAGAACGCAGUGAAAUGCGAUAAGUAAUGUGAAUUGCAGAAUUCAGUGAAUCAUCGAAUCUUUGAACGCACAUUGCGCCCCUUGGUAUUCCGAGGGGCAUGCCUAUUCGAGCGUCAUUAUCACCCCUCAAGCCUAGCUUGGUGUUGAGGCCUGCUGUCAAGGCAGCCUCUAAAAUCAGUGGCAGUGCUGUCAGGCUCUAAGCGUAGUAAAUCUAAUCGCUAUAGACACCUGGUGGACACUCGCCAGAAACCCCCCAUUUUUUAAUGGUUGACCUCGGAUUAGGUAGGGAUACCCGCUGAACUUAAGCAUAUCAAUAAGCGGAGGA
RNAcentral lists this unclassified non-coding RNA (329 nucleotides) under soil metagenome. Its description in RNAcentral is "partial contains 5.8S ribosomal RNA, internal transcribed spacer 2, and large subunit ribosomal RNA". The stretch from base 1 to 120 matches the Rfam family "5.8S ribosomal RNA", at positions 35 to 154 of the family's 154-position model. The record is from RNAcentral.